RNAcentral lists this ribosomal RNA (623 nucleotides) under uncultured Bacteroidota bacterium. RNAcentral describes it as "bacterial SSU rRNA". It matches the Rfam family "Bacterial small subunit ribosomal RNA", at positions 293 to 916 of the family's 1533-position model. The record is from RNAcentral. Lineage: Bacteria; Pseudomonadati; Bacteroidota.
UGAGAGGAAGGUCCCCCACAUUGGAACUGAGACACGGUCCAAACUCCUACGGGAGGCAGCAGUGAGGAAUAUUGGUCAAUGGACGAGAGUCUGAACCAGCCAAGUAGCGUGAAGGAUGAAGGUCCUACGGAUUGUAAACUUCUUUUAUAAGGGAAUAAACCCUCCCACGUGUGGGAGCUUGUAUGUACCUUAUGAAUAAGCAUCGGCUAACUCCGUGCCAGCAGCCGCGGUAAUACGGAGGAUGCGAGCGUUAUCCGGAUUUAUUGGGUUUAAAGGGAGCGCAGACGGGUCGUUAAGUCAGCUGUGAAAGUUUGGGGCUCAACCUUAAAAUUGCAGUUGAUACUGGCGUCCUUGAGUGCGGUUGAGGUGUGCGGAAUUCGUGGUGUAGCGGUGAAAUGCUUAGAUAUCACGAAGAACUCCGAUUGCGAAGGCAGCACACUAAUCCGUAACUGACGUUCAUGCUCGAAAGUGUGGGUAUCAAACAGGAUUAGAUACCCUGGUAGUCCACACGGUAAACGAUGGAUACUCGCUGUUGGCGAUAUACUGUCAGCGGCUUAGCGAAAGCGUUAAGUAUCCCACCUGGGGAGUACGCCGGCAACGGUGCAACUCAAAGGAAUUGACGG